GGUUUAAAAAACCCAGUUUGAGGUAAUUAUUGAAUUCUGAAGUCAAGCCUUCGGCUUUCAAAAUUUUGGAAUGAGGUUGGAAACGACUUCUAA
This 93-nucleotide small nuclear RNA is filed under the name Strongyloides ratti. Its description in RNAcentral is "snRNA SRAE_1000600119". The record is from RNAcentral. Lineage: Eukaryota; Metazoa; Nematoda; Chromadorea; Rhabditida; Strongyloididae.